This 253-nucleotide ribosomal RNA is filed under the name uncultured bacterium. RNAcentral describes it as "partial 16S ribosomal RNA". It matches the Rfam family "Bacterial small subunit ribosomal RNA", at positions 524 to 776 of the family's 1533-position model. The record is from RNAcentral.
UACGGAGGGGGCUAGCGUUGUUCGGAAUUACUGGGCGUAAAGCGGGUGUAGGCGGAUCUCUAAGUCGGGGGUGAAAGCCCUGGGCUCAACCCAGGAAUUGCCUUCGAUACUGGAGAUCUCGAGUGUGGGAGAGGUGAGCGGAAUUCCGAGUGUAGAGGUGAAAUUCGUAGAUAUUCGGAGGAACACCAGAGGCGAAGGCGGCUCACUGGACCAUUACUGACGCUGAGACCCGAAAGCGUGGGGAGCAAACAGG